UAAAGCAGGGUGCGACGGGGGAUUCUUCUCGGUACCGACACCCGCGCAGAGAGCGCGGGAGUGACGAGGUGGACGGCAGGCAGGGUGAUGGAAACGGAAGGGGAGCGGGAGAGGGCGGCGGCGGGGAGUCAGAGAGGGAGCCCGCAGCUCGUAGUGAACGACGAUCUCCUUUAGAUGGCGAAGAAGGACACCUGGCGUUCAGCUCUCGCAAAGCCCGGCAAUGGCGUCAUCUCCUUCCACGACGACAAAUUCAACUGGAAGUUAAGACGAGUCCGAUCUUUAUCACACUCUUUUUCUACUAUGUUUGAUUUAAUCUCUUCCAAGGUUCGAUUUUUCUCAGCUUUUCCCAACAUAAAUUUGUAUCGGUCGAGUAAACCCCAAAUUAGAGAACAUAGUUUUCUUGUACAUCUCUUUUAUCUGGUUCCCUUCUGUGAGUAAGAUCAUCAUCUUUCUUUUGCCACUUUCUUCAAAACAAUCGGCAUCCCAACUUUCGGUGGAAGAAAGAGCCCAAAACGUGAAUUUUCUGGAUUUUUUUGGUAAAGGAUUGGCGAAGAAGAUGCAAAGUUUCAAACUUUUUCCCCUUAAAUGCGAAAAUGUGUUCAUCAAUUAAUAGAUUCCUCUAGCUAAAAUAGAAAUCUUUUUCUUGUGGGUUAUAGCGGGAGCGGCUGAUGAUUAGCUUGUUUAUUUUUUACUUCACAGACACUCCCUCGAGACAGAGAACUAAAGUGGAGAUCCAUGUCAUUUUUGUCCAAAAGAAUUCAUCACCUAUUCAACUGUAAGGAGUCUUAGAAAGUAUGAAAAUUGAAGAGGUAGCACCGUUCCAUGAUACCUUUUGUUGCAAACACAUUGAACAACAAGUUUUGCAUGUUAGACUUGCCUUCUCUCGAGAACUGCAGUAACUAUAUGUAUAUAUUACAUCGUUUCAAAUUAGCUCAUGAGUCCAAAUUAUUGUCCAUCUUUAGCUUUAACAUGAUCAAAUAUGCCCCUUUCCUAGAAGAUGUCAACUUCUAUGAUCUUUCGCAAGCUUGGACCAUUGCAAUGGUGCAAAAGCCUAUUUAGUUUCUGAAUUAAUUCUACAGGUAACUGUUAAAUCUUUUACUCUAUCAUUUGAUUCAAUCAAGUUGAUUUUAUGUUGCAAGUUCUUGGUAAUCUUAAAUAGUGUAACUUGAGUUUUGUAUAGGGAAACAUAGUAUGGUGAUACCUCUAUCUGCAUUGCUUGUUUGCCAUCUAUAUUAACUCUAAGAAGUUGAACAAUUAUUUAUCAACCUUUAAACAGAUCGCCAAGUGAAGAAGAUGAUUCCAAACACCAUGGUGUUGCAGCACAGAGAUUUUGCUACAGUAAAUGUUCAAGCAUGAGCCUUUUGGUCAUCUAAGCCUCUCAAGUGAAAAAAAUGCAGUAUGCUGCACUGAACAGAUGAGUUGAAUUAGAGACUUGUGUUCAUGCUGAGCAUCAAAUAGACACUUUCGAUGAGGUUUGUGCAGAUGGCCAUCAGACUAAUGUACUAAACCUUGUUAUUACCUUGAUCCAGGAGGGAUAGCUGCAGCUGGUGAGGGUACCAAAAUGGUGUAUGUGCCUGCUCCCCUGGCAGUGGUUGUGAAGGCCAUGAAGCUUCUCUCAUGGAUGUUUAAAUGCCUGGAGCAGAGUCAUAUGUGUUGCAAGAAGGCAUGCCUUACACCCUCUUUGCAGGAACUGGUUCUUAGCCUUUCCCUUGAGGUUUCUUCACACCGACGUGUGGACGAAGUAAAGCAGGCAAAGUUGGGGUUUGAGCUAUGGAAAGGAUCUUCAUUUUCUCGGAAGCUUCUACUUUGAGCUAUGUGGUCGUUAUAUAAAAUGGAAAAGUGUCCUCUCGAUAUCAAUCAAUAUUAGAUGUUUUUUAUUCA
Molecule: long non-coding RNA, 1881 nt
Organism: Musa acuminata AAA Group (dessert banana)
Lineage: Eukaryota; Viridiplantae; Streptophyta; Magnoliopsida; Zingiberales; Musaceae
Exons: 3
Source: RefSeq, a predicted model, not a curated record